This 438-nucleotide ribosomal RNA is filed under the name uncultured bacterium. RNAcentral's name for it is "bacterial SSU rRNA". It matches the Rfam family "Bacterial small subunit ribosomal RNA", at positions 338 to 790 of the family's 1533-position model. The record is from RNAcentral.
CCUACGGGAGGCAGCAGUGGGGAAUAUUGGGCAAUGGGCGCAAGCCUGACCCAGCAACGCCGCGUGAAGGAAGAAGGCCCUCGGGUUGUAAACUUCUUUUAUUCGGGACGAAACAAAUGACGGUACCGAAUGAAUAAGCCACGGCUAACUACGUGCCAGCAGCCGCGGUAAUACGUAGGUGGCAAGCGUUAUCCGGAUUUACUGGGUGUAAAGGGCGUGUAGGCGGGAGAGCAAGUCAGACGUGAAAUUCCAGGGCUCAACCCUGGAACUGCGUUUGAAACUGUUCUUCUUGAGUGAUGGAGAGGCAGGCGGAAUUCCGUGUGUAGCGGUGAAAUGCGUAGAUAUACGGAGGAACACCAGUGGCGAAGGCGGCCUGCUGGACAUUAACUGACGCUGAGGCGCGAAAGCGUGGGGAGCAAACAGGAUUAGAUACCCCAG